RNAcentral lists this unclassified non-coding RNA (261 nucleotides) under Hevea brasiliensis (rubber tree). The record is from RNAcentral. Lineage: Eukaryota; Viridiplantae; Streptophyta; Magnoliopsida; Malpighiales; Euphorbiaceae.
ACUCCGUCUGAGUCCCUCCUUGCUCUGGCCGUCGCCCUCGAACAGAUCGCAGCCCUUAACAUGGCUUACCUCCCAGACCCCAUCCUCGCCACCGACCUCGAAACCUGCUACCGCAAACUCCCAUCCUUCGCCUCUCCCCCAGCUAACCACCGUCCCUUCCACCGCCUCCGCAACGACACCAACAUCCCCAUCCAAUUCGAGACCAAUGGUUCAGAUCCCAGAUCAAGAUCCGGGAUCAUCAGCUCUCCCGUAUAUUCUUCG